GGCGGCGUGCUUAACACAUGCAAGCCGAACGGUGCUAAUGAACCUAGUGAUUAAGCACAGUGGCGGACGGGUGAGUAACGCGUGGGUAACCUGCCGCAUGCAGGGGGACAACAGAGGGAAACUUCUGCGUAAUACCGCAUAAGCGCACGGGAUCGCAUGAUCCGGUGUGAAAAGAUUUGUCGGCAGUGCGAUGGACCCGCGUCUGAUUAGGCAGUUGGUGAGGUAACGGCCCACCAAACCUACCGAUCAGUAGCCGGCCUGAGAGGGUGAACGGCCACAUUGGGACUGAGACACGGGCCCAAACUCCUACGGGAGGCAGCAGUGGGGAAUAUUGCACAAUGGGGGAAACCCUGAUGCAAGCGACGCCGCGUGAGUGAAGAAGCAUUUCGGUGCGUAAAGCUCUGUCAGCAGGAAAGAAAAUGACGGUACCUGACCAAGAAGCCCCGGCUAACUACGUGCCAGCAGCCGC
Molecule: ribosomal RNA, 469 nt
Filed under: uncultured bacterium
Lineage: Bacteria
Description: bacterial SSU rRNA
Rfam family: Bacterial small subunit ribosomal RNA
Source: RNAcentral